This is a non-coding RNA of Rhodocollybia butyracea, 72 nucleotides long. The record is from the annotation of a GenBank genome assembly. NCBI's taxonomy places the organism in Eukaryota, Fungi, Basidiomycota, Agaricomycetes, Agaricales, Omphalotaceae.
UACGCUAUGGCUGAGUUGGUCACAGCCUCAUGAACAUUCGGAAGGUCAAGAGUUCGACCCUCUCUGGGGUAG